Molecule: ribosomal RNA, 253 nt
Filed under: uncultured bacterium
Lineage: Bacteria
Description: partial 16S ribosomal RNA
Rfam family: Bacterial small subunit ribosomal RNA
Source: RNAcentral
UACGAAGGGGGCUAGCGUUGCUCGGAAUCACUGGGCUUAAAGGGCGCGUAGGCGGCCUCUUUGGUCGUGGGUGAAAUCCCCCAGCUUAACUGGGGAAGGGCCUACGAUACCGGGGGGCUCGAGGGAGGAAGGGGCGGUCGGAACUGUCGGUGGAGCGGUGAAAUGCGUUGAUAUCGACAGGAACGCCGGUGGCGAAAGCGGACCGCUGGCCCUCUUCUGACGCUGAGGCGCGAAAGCCAGGGGAGCGAACGGG